UUACUUGAGAGUUUGAUCCUGGCUCAGGACGAACGCUGGCGGCGUGCUUAACACAUGCAAGUCGAACGAUGAAGCUGAUGCUUGCAUUGGUGGAUUAGUGGCGAACGGGUGAGUAACACGUGAGUAACCUGCCCUCUACUUUGGGAUAACUCCGGGAAACCGGUGCUAAUACUGGAUAUGACUCUGGCCUGCAUGGGUUGGGGUGGAAAGAUUUAUCGGUAGGGGAUGGACUCGCGGCCUAUCAGCUUGUUGGUGGGGUAAUGGCCUACCAAGGCGACGACGGGUAG
This 287-nucleotide ribosomal RNA is filed under the name Tissierellia bacterium. Its description in RNAcentral is "partial 16S ribosomal RNA". It matches the Rfam family "Bacterial small subunit ribosomal RNA", at positions 1 to 286 of the family's 1533-position model. The record is from RNAcentral. Lineage: Bacteria; Bacillati; Bacillota; Tissierellia.